CCUACGGGAGGCAGCAGUGAGGAAUAUUGGUCAAUGGGCGAGAGCCUGAACCAGCCAAGUCGCGUGAGGGAGUACUGCCCUAUGGGUUGUAAACCUCUUUUGUCGGGGAGCAAAAGCCGGACGUGUCCGGCUGUGAGAGUACCCGAAGAAAAAGCAUCGGCUAACUCCGUGCCAGCAGCCGCGGUAAUACGGAGGAUGCGCGCGUUAUCCGGAUUUAUUGGGUUGAAAGGGUGCGCAGGCGGAUUUUUAAGUCAGCGGUCAAAUCGUGGGGCUCAAACCCAUCCAGCCGUUGAAACUGGGGAUCUAGAGUGUGCGAGAGGUAGGCGGAAUGCGUGGUGUAGCGGUGAAAUGCAUAGAUAUCACGCAGAACCCCGAUUGCGAAGGCAGCAUACCGGUGCACAACUGACGCUGAGGCACGAAGGCCAGGGGAGCGAAAGGGAUUAGAUACCCUGGUAGUC
This 458-nucleotide ribosomal RNA is filed under the name uncultured bacterium. RNAcentral's name for it is "partial 16S ribosomal RNA". It matches the Rfam family "Bacterial small subunit ribosomal RNA", at positions 338 to 795 of the family's 1533-position model. The record is from RNAcentral.